GCAAAUUGUAUUGUCAAACUAGUACUUUUACACAAAAAAACUAUUUAAGUAAUGCUCUAAAUUAUUACUGUGUGGAACAUGUGAAAGACCAUUAUAUAGUUCAUGUUGCAGAUUUUCAGAUCAAGAGAGAGAAGUGUUAAAAAAAGGCACAUACACAGAGAGAGAUUAACUCUAUCAAGAAGACAUCUCGCAAAUUGUAUUGUCAAACUAAUGAACCGAAUGACUUGGAUAUUUUAGCCAACAAUUGGUCAGAUAAAGUGGGAAAACAUGGGCCAACCGUUCAUUUAAUCACUAAUUCGACUCAAGUAAAAGAAAGAGAAGGCGUAAAAAUACAUAAAGUUGAAGACUGUGGCGCCAAAAUGCAUCACCAGUUUUUGGCUUCCUCUUAAAUAGUAUCUCCAUUGAUAUGGCAAACCAAGAAGACACCAAGAGAUCCUCCAACCGAGACAUAUAUCCCAUACCCACGAGAGAAUAAAAGAAACUAAAUGCAAUCCGGUUUAGUCGGACUGUUCGUCACCCAUCUUACUAAAAAUCAUUACGACGUUCUUUUUGAUAACCAGUUCCGUCUUGCGAAGGCAAAACUAAAGAAGCAUUCCUUAGUUAGUAACAAAUUCGACCUUACCUCCUCUUUCGCUAAUCUUGCUGGAUAUUGUACAUCAAGGAGGUCAUCAUAAAAUCCUUGGUUUAAACUUAAACUCAAGAAAACAUAACGCAACAGUAAGUCACUGAAUUUCUAGGCAAAAUCUGGUCAUUCAAAUGUUUAGCAUGCCGAUAUCGCAAGUCGCUGAAUUUCACAACAUAUUUUCCGACAUACCAGCCCCUAAAAGCUUAAUGCUUUCAAAUCUCAAUCACAUAUAAACACUCUGCGUCCAACAUAAUCAAAGGACAACAUACAGAUCAGCGAAUUCAUAAAAAAAAAACAUCGAAAAGGUGGAAUUCGUACCUUUUUGGAGCAGGAACUAGGACAAACGAGUUUUAAACAAAACGAAAUUCCACCGGAGUUUAUGUUGUUUCUGCCAGAAUUUCAAUGUUGAAUCACCGGAAGUUUCUAAUUUUCGUCGGAAUUGAUUUUUCCACAGAAUUUCCUCUUGAAUCCUUUGGUUACGUGGGAUUAGAGGAUUGCUCCUCCAAAAUCCCCAAUUUUUCCCCAAAGAAUUCCCCCCUCACCCUGGACUAUUUAUAGGGGAAGCUAGGUUUUAAAAGUGUGAACUUCAAAUCUGAAAUUUGGUUGGUUUUCUAAAGAAAUUUGAAUUCUAAAGUGAGAGAAAAGGGGAGCCGUUGGGUAUUGAUUUCUUACCCGAAAUUGUGAAUCAUAGACUGAGUACAAAGAAAGUCUCUGAUUUUUGGCCAAAUAUGGGAUGUAUCAAGAGGGUAAAUUGGUAAAAGGUUGGAAACGGCUAGGUUGACUGGGCGGGUACCGUUUUUGCCGGUGUUGACGUUGUUCGAUCUUGUACGCUGUCGGAGCGUUGUUCGUUGUUGCUGUUUGAUGAAAUUGUUGUUGUUCGCUGUUAACGUUGAAUGGGGAAAAGGAUUUUGUCGUUGACAACGUUAUUGGGAUGGUUUUUUCGCUGGUGGUUGAAUGUUGUUGAAGGUGGGAAUUGUACGCUGUUGGAGUUAUCUGUUGUAUUGUCGGGUAAGGGGAAUGGGUUGAAGGUGAUAGCUGGGCCGGGUAGAG
RNAcentral lists this long non-coding RNA (1675 nucleotides) under Capsicum annuum. RNAcentral's name for it is "long non-coding RNA (CANN_LNC004461)". Lineage: Eukaryota; Viridiplantae; Streptophyta; Magnoliopsida; Solanales; Solanaceae. The record is from RNAcentral.